GGUCAAGCUGUGCACUCUAGACAGACUGCCGUGGACAACACGGAGGAAGGUGGGGAUGACGUCAAAUCAUCAUGCCCCUUAUGAUCUGGGCUACACACGUGCUACAAUGGCCGGUACAACGGGCAGCGAAGGAGCGAUCCGGAGCGAAUCCUAAAAAGCCGGUCCCAGUUCGGAUUGCAGGCUGAAACUCGCCUACAUGAAGUUGGAGUUGCUAGUAAUCGCGAAUCAGAAUGUCGCGGUGAAUGCGUUCCCGGGUCUU
RNAcentral lists this ribosomal RNA (259 nucleotides) under uncultured Fusibacter sp. RNAcentral describes it as "partial 16S ribosomal RNA". It matches the Rfam family "Bacterial small subunit ribosomal RNA", at positions 1124 to 1382 of the family's 1533-position model. Lineage: Bacteria; Bacillati; Bacillota; Clostridia; Eubacteriales; Fusibacteraceae. The record is from RNAcentral.